RNAcentral lists this non-coding RNA (446 nucleotides) under Dictyocaulus viviparus (bovine lungworm). RNAcentral describes it as "Eukaryotic small subunit ribosomal RNA". It matches the Rfam family "Eukaryotic small subunit ribosomal RNA", at positions 1 to 462 of the family's 1831-position model. Lineage: Eukaryota; Metazoa; Nematoda; Chromadorea; Rhabditida; Metastrongylidae. The record is from Rfam by way of RNAcentral.
UACCUGAUUGAUUCUGUCAGCGCUAUAUGCUCAGUUAAAAGAUUAAGCCAUGCAUGUCGAGUUCAACUUUUCAAGUGAAACUGCGAACGGCUCAUUAGAGCUGAUGUAAUUUAUUCGGAAUUAUUCGAAUGGAUAACUGCGGUAAUUCUGGAGCUAAUACAUGCGAUAGAACCCUGACUUUUGAAAGGGUGCAAUUAUUAGAGCAAAUCAGUGAUCUUCGGAUGUAUAGUUUGUUGACUCUGAAUAACGCAGCAUAUCGGCGGCAUAGUUCGCCGAUAUUCCGAAUAAGUGUCUGCCCUAUCAACCUGAUGGUAGUCUAUUAGUCUACCAUGGUUAUUACGGGUAACGGAGAAUAAGGGUUCGACUCCGGAGAGGGAGCCUUAGAAACGGCUACCACAUCCAAGGAAGGCAGCAGGCGCGAAACUUAUCCAAUCUUGAAGAGAUGA